CACGUAGGGGCCAAGCGUUGUCCGUAUUUAUUGGGCGUAAAGAGCUCGUAGGCGGCUUCGUAAGUCGGGUGUGAGAACCCCAGGCUCAACCUGGGGACGCCACCCGAUACUGCGAUGGCUAGAGUCCGGUAGGGGAGCGCGGAAUUCCUGGUGUAGCGGUGAAAUGCGCAGAUAUCAGGAGGAACACCGGUGGCGAAGGCGGGACUCUGGGCCGAUACUGACGCUGAGGAGCGAAAGCGUGGGGAGCGAACAGG
RNAcentral lists this ribosomal RNA (254 nucleotides) under uncultured bacterium. RNAcentral's name for it is "partial 16S ribosomal RNA". It matches the Rfam family "Bacterial small subunit ribosomal RNA", at positions 524 to 776 of the family's 1533-position model. The record is from RNAcentral.